RNAcentral lists this ribosomal RNA (253 nucleotides) under uncultured bacterium. RNAcentral's name for it is "partial 16S ribosomal RNA". It matches the Rfam family "Bacterial small subunit ribosomal RNA", at positions 524 to 776 of the family's 1533-position model. The record is from RNAcentral.
UGCGUAGGGUGCGAGCGUUAAUCGGAAUUACUGGGCGUAAAGCGUGCGUAGGCGGUCCGCGAAGUCUGAUGUGAAAGCCCCGGGCUCAACCUGGGAACUGCAUUGGAAACUAACGGGCUCGAGUGUGGCAGAGGGGGGUGGAAUUCCACGUGUAGCAGUGAAAUGCGUAGAGAUGUGGAGGAACACCGAUGGCGAAGGCAGCCCCCUGGGCUAACACUGACGCUCAGGCACGAAAGCGUGGGGAGCAAACAGG